Molecule: unclassified non-coding RNA, 233 nt
Filed under: Hevea brasiliensis (rubber tree)
Lineage: Eukaryota; Viridiplantae; Streptophyta; Magnoliopsida; Malpighiales; Euphorbiaceae
Source: RNAcentral
AAGAGGUGCACCAGCUGAAGAAGAACCAAAUGACGGAGCAGUAGAUUAUGAGAAGCAAAGGGCUGAGAGAAUCAAAGAGAACAAAGAGAGACUGCACAAACUUGGUAUUCUCGAACUCACAAAAAAACUAAAUCCCCCUUCCAAGAAACUCACCACUCCUCGAAUCAGCCGCCGGGCGGUGUCAAUUGAUGACCCACCUCGCCGCUCUUUUAGGUUGAAGGAUAAGCCUCCAG